CCAUGGACAGAGGAGUCUGGAGGGCUACAGUUCAUGGAGUUGUGAAGAGUUGGACACAACUGAGUGAGCAUUCCAAUGUAUACUUUGUUAUUAUCUGAUAUUAUUUUUCCUGAGAAGAUUAUUUCAGAGUAGAUAGGCUUUCUGAAUUACAGCUUUGUUAUUAUUUAAUGAAUCAAAAGGUAUAUCUUUUUUUAAAACUGAAAGAAAACACAGAAGUCCAUGAAAAGAUAUAUAUUUUAAUAGCAAAUAUCAGAAUCAAUUUGUUUGCCUAACAGAAGAGCUUAAUUAAAUGUAUUGUGAAACAUUGACUUAGUGAAAUGCUUUGCAGCAAUUCAUACUUUUGAUGCAAAAUUUAAACAUGCUGACCCAGAAAACAGCUAUUAGUUGAUUGACAGAUAAAUGUAAAAAGAAGAUCUGGUAUAUUACACACACACACAAUAUUACUCAGCUUUAGUCUAGAAAAAAAAAAAGAAUGAAAUAGUGCCAUAUGCAACAGCAUGGAUGGGCCUGGAGAUUAUCAUACUAAGUGAAAUAAGCAAGACAAAGACAAACAUCACAUGAUAUUGUUUAUAUGUGAAAUCUAAAAAUAUGAUACAAAUGAACUUAUUUAUAAAAAUAGGCUCUAAAAAAAUAAUAGGCUCUAAUACAUAGAAAACAGUAUUCUGGUAAGGAAGAGGAAGACAGGGAUAAAUUUGGAGUUUGGGAUUAAAAUAUGCAUGUGUGCUGUGCUUAGUUGCUCAGUUGUGUCUGACCCUUUAUGACCCCAUGGACUGUAGCCCCCCAGGCUCCUCUGUCCAUGGGAUUCUCCAGGCAAGAAUACUGGAGUGGGUUGCCAUGCCUUCCUCCAGGGUAUAUUCCCAACCCAGGGAUCGAACCUAGGUCUCACACAUUGCAGGCAGAUUCUUUACCAUCUGAGCCACCAGGGAAGCCUAAAAUAUGCGUACUGCUACUGCAGCUGCUGCUGCUAAGUUGCUUCAAGUCGGACACGACUGAAGUGACUCAGCAGCAUAUGACUAUUCAAAUUUAUAACUUUUCUUUAUGGAGUGAAAAC
This is a long non-coding RNA of Bos taurus (domestic cattle), 1051 nucleotides long. Lineage: Eukaryota; Metazoa; Chordata; Mammalia; Artiodactyla; Bovidae. The record is from Ensembl.